Non-coding RNA from Mycena galopus ATCC 62051, 91 nucleotides. The record is from the annotation of a GenBank genome assembly. NCBI's taxonomy places the organism in Eukaryota, Fungi, Basidiomycota, Agaricomycetes, Agaricales, Mycenaceae.
UCGGACAUGGUGUACGGUACACGUCCUUUCCAACUAUUGCCGUAAUCGUCUUAUCAAGAGGCAGUACGGGGUUCGAUUCCCCGUGUCUGAA